AUUGGACAAUGGGCGCAAGCCUGAUCCAGCCAUGCCGCGUGAGUGAAGAAGGCCCUCGGGUUGUAAAGCUCUUUUGUCCGGAAAGAAAAGCAUCGGGUUAAUACCCCGGUGUUCUGACGGUACCGGAAGAAUAAGCACCGGCUAACUUCGUGCCAGCAGCCGCGGUAAUACGAAGGGUGCAAGCGUUACUCGGAAUUACUGGGCGUAAAGCGUGCGUAGGUGGUUCGUUAAGUCUGAUGUGAAAGCCCUGUGCUCAAACUGGGAAUGGCAUUGGAAACUGGCGGACUGGAGUUCGGAAGAGGGUAGCGGAAUUCCCGGUGUAGCAGUGAAAUGCGUAGAGAUCGGGAGGAACAUCCGUGGCAAAGGCGGCUACCUGGACCAGCACUGACACUGAGGCACGAAAGCGUGGGG
Molecule: ribosomal RNA, 411 nt
Filed under: uncultured bacterium
Lineage: Bacteria
Description: bacterial SSU rRNA
Rfam family: Bacterial small subunit ribosomal RNA
Source: RNAcentral